RNAcentral lists this ribosomal RNA (879 nucleotides) under Paraophiobolus arundinis. Its description in RNAcentral is "eukaryotic LSU rRNA". It matches the Rfam family "Eukaryotic large subunit ribosomal RNA", at positions 39 to 937 of the family's 3401-position model. Lineage: Eukaryota; Fungi; Ascomycota; Dothideomycetes; Pleosporales; Phaeosphaeriaceae. The record is from RNAcentral.
CAUAUCAAUAAGCGGAGGAAAAGAAACCAACAGGGAUUGCCCUAGUAACGGCGAGUGAAGCGGCAACAGCUCAAAUUUGAAAUCUGGCUCUUUUAGGGUCCGAGUUGUAAUUUGCAGAGGGCGCUUUGGCGUUGGCAGCGGUCCAAGUUCUUUGGAACAGGACGUCACAGAGGGUGAGAAUCCCGUACGUGGUCGCUAUCCUUCGCCGUGUAAAGCCCCUUCGACGAGUCGAGUUGUUUGGGAAUGCAGCUCUAAAUGGGAGGUAAAUUUCUUCUAAAGCUAAAUACUGGCCAGAGACCGAUAGCGCACAAGUAGAGUGAUCGAAAGAUGAAAAGCACUUUGGAAAGAGAGUCAAAUAGCACGUGAAAUUGUUGAAAGGGAAGCGCUUGCAGCCAGACUUGCCUGUAGUUGCUUAUCCGGACUUUUGUCCGGUGCACUCUUCUGCGGGCAGGCCAGCAUCAGUUUGGGCGGUUAGAUAAAGGUCUCUGUCAUGUACCUCUCUUCGGGGAGGCCUUAUAGGGGAGACGACAUGUAACCAGCCUGGACUGAGGUCCGCGCAUCUGCUAGGAUGCUGGCGUAAUGGCUGUAAGCGGCCCGUCUUGAAACACGGACCAAGGAGUCUAACAUCUAUGCGAGUGUUUGGGUGUCAAGCCCAGACGCGUAAUGAAAGUGAACGGAGGUAGGAACCCUUUGGGUGCACUAUCGACCGAUCCUGAUGUCUUCGGAAGGAUUUGAGUAAGAGCAUGGCUGUUGGGACCCGAAAGAUGGUGAACUAUGCUUGAAUAGGGUGAAGCCAGAGGAAACUCUGGUGGAGGCUCGCAGCGGUUCUGACGUGCAAAUCGAUCGUCAAAUUUGGGCAUAGGGGCGAAAGACUAAUCG